UACGAAGGGGGGCUAGCGUUGCUCGGAUUGACUGGGCGUAAAGGGCGCGUAGGCGGUUCGUACAGUCAGACGUGAAAUUCCUGGGCUCAACCUGGGGGCUGCGUUUGAUACGUGCGGACUUGAGUGCGGAAGAGGGUCGUGGAAUUCCCAGUGUAGAGGUGAAAUUCGUAGAUAUUGGGAAGAACACCGGUGGCGAAGGCGGCGAUCUGGGUCGAUACUGACGCUGAGGUGCGAAAGCGUGGGGAGCAAACAGG
Molecule: ribosomal RNA, 254 nt
Filed under: uncultured bacterium
Lineage: Bacteria
Description: partial 16S ribosomal RNA
Rfam family: Bacterial small subunit ribosomal RNA
Source: RNAcentral